RNAcentral lists this long non-coding RNA (1622 nucleotides) under Salmo salar (Atlantic salmon). RNAcentral's name for it is "lncRNA (ENSSSAG00000120308.1)". Lineage: Eukaryota; Metazoa; Chordata; Actinopteri; Salmoniformes; Salmonidae. The record is from RNAcentral.
UCAGGGGUCAGGGGUCAGGGGGGAGGGGGAGAACUCAGCAGCAGACUUGGUUCAUGCCUUAGUUUAUAUUUCUCACAUGAUAUCCUUAUGAAACAUACAUCAUUCUGAAAUACAAUAAAACUAGUGAAAUCAAGACAUGGACCCACAUCAGAAUAAUGUUAGUCAUUCUGUAUAGAAGAGAAACAUGCUGAUUCUGCUCUGAGGGAUUCUAGAACAUGCUGAUUCUGCUCUGAGGGAUUCUAGAACAACAUGAUGAUUCUGCUCUGAGGGAUUCUAGAACAACAUGAUGAUUCUGCUCUGAGGGAUUCUAGAACAACAGGAUGAUUCUGCUCUGAGGGAUUCUAGAACAACAUGAUGAUUCUGCUCUGAAGGAUUCUAGAACAACAUGAUGAUUCUGCUCUGAGGGAUUCUAGAACAACAUGAUGAUUCUGCUCUGAGGGAUUCUAGAACAACAUGAUGAUUCUGCUCUGAGGGAUUCUAGAACAACAUGAUGAUUCUGCUCUGAGGGAUUCUAGAACAACAUGAUGAUUCUGCUCUGAGGGAUUCUAGAACAACAUGAUGAUUCUGCUCUGAGGGGAUUCUAGAACAACAUGAUGAUUCUGCUCUGAGGGAUUCUAGAACAACAUGAUGAUUCUGCUCUGAGGGAUUCUAGAACAACAUGAUGAUUCUGCUCUGAGGGAUUCUAGAACAACAUGCUGAUUCUGCUCUGAGGGAUUCUAGAACAACAUGAUGAUUCUGCUCUGAGGGAUUCUAGAACAACAUGAUGAUUCUGCUCUGAGGGAUUCUAGAACAACAUGAUGAUUCUGCUCUGAGGGAUUCUAGAACAACAUGCUGAUUCUGCUCUGAGGGAUUCUAGAACAACAGGGAAUUCUGUUUCCUUCCUGUUGAUGUACUGUCAGAUGGAAACACUCUAACCCAACAUGUAGAUUCUACUCUGUGAAUGACGAGGUUUGUGGCACAGAUCAUUAUCAUGAAAUAACAGACAACAGUUCACAGUAAACACAGACUAUCAUUGUGCACAACCCUAUACAACCCUAUUACAUAGCAUCAGCAAGGUACAUAAAACACUGACACCAUCCCUUUAAGGCCGAUAGAUAGGUCAUCCCUUUAAGACCUACACACAGUUCACCCCGUAAAAGACAGACAAUAAAGGUCAACCCUGUAAGACCGACAGACAGGUCAUCCCUUUAAGACCGACAGACAGGUCAUCCCUUUAAGACUGACGGGCAGGUCAUCCCUUUAAGACCGACAGGCAGGUCAUCCCUUUAAGACCGACAGACAGGUCAUCCCUUUAAGACCGACAGACAGGUCAUCCCUUUAAGACCGACAGGCAGGUCAUCCCUUUAAGACCGACAGACAGGUCAUCCCUUUAAGACCGACAGACAGGUCAUCCCUUUAAGACCGACAGGCAGGUCAUCCCUUUAAGACCGACAGGCAGGUCAUCCCUUUAAGACCGACAGACAGGUCAUCCCUUUAAGACCGACAGACAGGUCAUCCCUUUAAGACCGACAGACAGGUCAUCCCUUUAAGACCGACAGACAGGUCAUCCCUUUAAGACCUCAAAUAUAUUUGAAAAACGAGUUAAAAAAUGAUUAUUUACAAAAAUACUUUGCUGUGUAAAC